RNAcentral lists this ribosomal RNA (419 nucleotides) under uncultured bacterium. RNAcentral's name for it is "bacterial SSU rRNA". It matches the Rfam family "Bacterial small subunit ribosomal RNA", at positions 917 to 1345 of the family's 1533-position model. The record is from RNAcentral.
GGACCCGCACAAGCGGUGGAGUAUGUGGUUUAAUUCGAUGCAACGCGAAAAACCUUACCAGGGUUUGAAAUAAUUUCAAAACUUCUUGAAAGAGAAGCCUCCUUCGGGAUGGGAUUACAGGUGGUGCAUGGCUGUCGUCAGCUCGUGUUGUGAAAUGUCAAGUUAAGUCUUGUAACGAGCGCAACCCAUGUCUCUUGUUGCUGUUUACAGUGCUUAAGAGAAACUGCCGAUCAACAUCGGAGGAAGGUGUGGAUGAUGUCAAGUCAGCAUGCCCCUUACAUCCUGGGCUACACACGUACUACAAUGGUCGAGACAAAGGGUCGCUAACCUGCAAAGGCAUGCCAAUCUCAUAAACUCGAUCUCAGUUCGGAUUGUACUCUGCAACUCGAGUACAUGAAGGUGGAAUCGCUAGUAAUCGC